This 213-nucleotide ribosomal RNA is filed under the name uncultured bacterium. Its description in RNAcentral is "partial 16S ribosomal RNA". It matches the Rfam family "Bacterial small subunit ribosomal RNA", at positions 524 to 736 of the family's 1533-position model. The record is from RNAcentral.
UACGUAGGGUGCAAGCGUUGUCCGGAAUUAUUGGGCGUAAAGAGCUCGUAGGCGGUCUGUCGCGUCUGCUGUGAAAACUCGGGCUUAACCCCGGGCCUGCAGUGGGUACGGGCAGACUAGAGUGCGGUAGGGGAGACUGGAAUUCCUGGUGUAGACGGUGAAAUGCGCAGAUAUCAGGAGGAACACCGAUGGCGAAGGCAGGUCUCUGGGCUG